This 3700-nucleotide long non-coding RNA is filed under the name Salmo trutta (river trout). RNAcentral describes it as "lncRNA (ENSSTUG00000006460.1)". Lineage: Eukaryota; Metazoa; Chordata; Actinopteri; Salmoniformes; Salmonidae. The record is from RNAcentral.
AUGGAGGAUCAGCAAUCUGUCAACCAGCAAUCCCCAUGGCUGUUCCCGUCCUCCAUCAAGGCCUGCGGGAAGGUGAGGGUGAUGGAAAAACAGCAGCCGGCCAUGGACAUGCAUGCUUCAGCCGGUCCACCCCGGAACUGGAAGGGCAUUGCAAUCGCCAUGAUGGUGAUCGUUGGUGUUCUAUCACUGGUCAUCCUUUCAGUCAUCAUGCUCACACCUGGUAAGAUGAAACACAGAAUGGGGGAGGGAAGAGAAGGAAUGGAGGGGAAGAGAAGGAAUGGAGGGGAAGAGAAGGAAUGGAGGGGAAGAGAAGGAAUGGAGGGGAAGAGAAGGAAUGGAGGGGAAGAGAAGGAAUGGGGGAGGGAAGAGAAGAGAAGGAAUGGAGGAGGGAAGAGAAGGAAUGGAGGAGGGAAGAGAAGGAAUGUGGAGGGAAGAGAAGGAAUGUGGAGGGAAGAGAAGGAAUGUGGAGGGAAGAGAAGGAAUGUGGAGGGAAUGAAAGAUGUAGAGAAAGAAAUGGAGAAAAAGAAUGCAGGAGGGGACUGUGUCUGUGUGUGUCCCAGGGUUCUGUUGGAGCUUAACCCUCCAGCGGGGGAGAAGGUAUUGAUACAGUACGCAGCCUGGGGACUGCAGGGGAACCAGCUGGCCUAUGUGUUUGAAGGAGAUAUCUACUACCAGACAGAAGUGACCAGUAAACCUCUCCGGCUCACAGCUACAGGCAGAGAGGGGCUGGUGGUCAACGGGCUGAGUGACUGGAUUUACGAGGAGGAAGUGCUCUUGACUUACCCUGCCAACUGGUGGUCGAAAGAUGGAGCUCGCUUGGCAUACCUCACCAUCAACAACUCUGCCACACCGCUAAUGGAGAUACCUCACUUCUUGGGUGGGGUCUAUCCCUCCAAUGUGUUCUUUCCUUACCCCAAGGCUGGCUCCACCAUCCCCACUGUCAGUCUGUUUGUGGUGAAUCUCUAUGGUCCAGCUCACACUCUAGAGAUGAUCCCUCCAGACUCUGUCAGGGGCAGAGACCGCUACAUCUCCAUGGUGACAUGGAUCAGCAGCACUCAGUUGGCGGUACGUUGGUUGAACCGGGCCCAGAACCAAUCAGAGCUCUGUGUGUGUGAGGCCACCACUGGGGCAUGCUCAAAGGUGAGAGGUCAAAGGUUACUCCACAGUAAUCCAAUGGGUGAGGUGCCAUUGUUUUCAUCUGAUGGCUCUUGGUUUUAUUUGACGUUGCCAGCCAAGCAAGGUGCCCGUGGGGAGUUCCGCCACAUUGCCAGUCUGCCAGCCCAGGUCAGUGUGAGGACACUCAAACUUUUAUACCCCUGUGUCAUCCUCCAAUGGUUUAAUGCCAGACUACUUGUUAAGUCUUCAAUAGGCUACUUCCUCAGCACAGAAGAAUCCAGACAGAGCAGACACCUGUACAGUGUGGACUUUGAAGGGAUCUUCCAACGCCAGUGUCUGACCUGCAACCUUCUAGAUGACUGUAGCUUUUUCAAAGCAGUGUUCAGCCCCAAUCAGACAUAUUUCACACUUUAUUGCCUAGGUAGGAGCUCUGUACACACGCACACAAACGCAGGAUACAUAGUUCUGGAGGACAACACACCUCUCUCUGAGACCCUAGAAGGGAAGAGACUCCCAGAGACUGUCUUCAAGACCCUCGCAGCUGACAACCAUGGUAAGUGUCUGACCCCGUUCCUCCUGUUGUCAUGCAGGGACGGAGUUCCAGGCAGUCAGUCGGUGACGGAGGAGUUUACUAUGGGAUGGCCUGAGGUGCUCGCGAGCACACAUGACAUGGCGUUAGCCUGGGUGGAUGGAAGGAGUGGGGUCGGCCGGGGGCAGAAGAUCAGCAGUGUGGAUCCCCGCAAGCUCAGCUCCCUCAGAGUCAAAGAUCAACUAGGAGUCGUAGAGUGGUUGAUGCAAUUGCCUUACAUUGACGAUCAGCGGAUUGCCCUGUAUGGCAAGGCAUUUGGUGGUUAUUUAUCCCUCAAGAUGCUAGCUGCCACUGAUCAGCUGUUUAAAUGUGCAGCCGCUGUGGCUCCCAUAACAGAUUUCAAACUCUACAGUGCUGCCUUCUCAGAGAGGUAUCUAGGUCUCCCAGCAAAGGAGGAGCACACUUAUCUGACGGCAUCUGUAUUGGAAGAUGUUCACAAGCUUAAAGACGAGAAUUUCCUCUUACUGCAUGGGACUGCAGACGCACGGGUCCACUUCCAGCACAGUGCAGAGCUCCUGAGUCGCUUGGUGAAGGUGGAGGCCAACUACUCCCUGCAGCUGUACCCAGACGAGGGCCACAUCCUGAAGGAGCGGCGCAGCAUCCAGCAUUCCCAACGGACCUUGGUGCACUACCUCCAGACCUGCCUGAGACACAACCCCCUCCUGGCCUCCAUAGAGGAGCCAGAUGAGGAGGAUGACUGAGUACUCCCACCUCUGGUACUGGAGAAACACUGAGAAGUGACGACUACUCAAAGUCAGACUACUACUAAACACUAGUCUCUUCCCACAGCCACUGACUAGACACAAGAACACGGGAGUGUGGACCAAGAAUAUCAGAUCACAGCCUACUGUUAUCAGUUCACAGCAACUUUGGAAACAUACAAUUUCUUCCCAACAUUGUUUGUACUGUUUGAAUUGUGUUGUCCCUGAUUUGUUUACACUGUGUGGAUCAAUUAUCCAAGAAGUGACCAUGGCCAGGCCAAAUGUUGAUUCUUCUUCAAGUUUACAAAAUAGCCUGAACAUGCAUGUCGUAAUGGCUGCAUGAAGCGGAGUGGUUUACAAUGCCUUCUUCUAUGUUUCGUUAUCCUGCAUAUCUUAACUUUGCUUAAUUUAUUACAACUAAAAUCAGCCUGCUAUGCUGAUAUGUAAACACAUAUAUGGUAUGGACUUAGUGUCACUCUUAAUGUGCCAAAUACAUGGUAUGUUUACAAGUGUAUUCACCAUGUCAGUUCAGAGAUGUAUCCAGACUUGCAGAAGUUAUAAACUGUAUUUUCCAUGCCUCUUGCAUGAUUAUUUUCAACAGUUCCAUGUUGUAUUUGGUAACUUUGGAUGGAUAUAAUAAGAAUGAACAAACCCAACAAACUAUAAUAUGAAGCACAUUUGUUAGAAGUAUAUUUCAGUAGUUAUGUUUUUGUUUGUUUUCUUGAAUGAAUUUCCUUUGAUAGUCACGCAUACUUUGUUCAUGUGUACUGCAAUAGUUUAACACCUCACUGAAAAUUAUACAUCUCCCCCAGUAACGUGGACUCCCAAUCAAAGUUGUGGAACAUCUAUGGUGCACUGCAUGUAGUCUGUUUGCAAUUGAAUAGCCAACUUUACAUUUUUCCUUUUUUUUGUUUUACUAAAUCCUUUACGAUAAAGAAUCAAUUCCUUGUUUUACAGAAAUAUUGUUGUGUGUGUGUGUUCCAUCACUGGCUGCUUUGGAGAGGACAAGUGGAGCCUCGGCCAAAGUAUCAGCAUUGAAAUAGUGAAUGAAUAACUGUCUGUUGUGUCAAGUAUAAUUUCUUGAACCGGUCUCGUUGGUACCAGGUGUUUUUAACCUAGACCUCAACAGUCAGACUAAAUAUAUUUGGCAAGAAUUGGAUAAGUGCAAUAUGGCCAGUGGUGGAAAAAGUACCCAAUUCUCAUACUUGAGUAAAAGUAUAGAUACCUUAAUAGAAAGUUACUCAAGUGAAAGUCAAUCAAUCAAAUAAAGCCCUUUUUAUAUCAGCCGAUGUCA